This 558-nucleotide ribosomal RNA is filed under the name Malassezia furfur. RNAcentral describes it as "LSU rRNA". It matches the Rfam family "Eukaryotic large subunit ribosomal RNA", at positions 77 to 621 of the family's 3401-position model. Lineage: Eukaryota; Fungi; Basidiomycota; Malasseziomycetes; Malasseziales; Malasseziaceae. The record is from RNAcentral.
CCCCUAGUAACGGCGAGUGAAGAGGGAAGAGCUCAAAUUUGAAAGCUGGUACCUUCGGUAUCCGCGUUGUAACCUCGAGACACGUUUUCCGUGCGGCGCUAUGGACAAGUUCCUUGGAACAGGACAUCGUAGAGGGUGAAAAUCCCGUACUUGCCAUGGAUGUACCGUGCUUUGCGAUACGUGCUCUAAGAGUCGAGUUGUUUGGGAUUGCAGCUCAAAAUGGGUGGUAGACUCCAUCUAAAGCUAAAUAUCGGGGAGAGACCGAUAGCGAACAAGUACCGUGAGGGAAAGAUGAAAAGCACUUUGGAAAGAGAGUUAAAAGUACGUGAAAUUGUCGAAAGGGAAGCGCUUGAAGUCAGCCAUGCCGCUCAGGACUCAGCCUGGCUUUUGCUUGGUGUAUUUCCUGGGUAGCAAGUCAGCAUUGGUUUGGAUCGUCGGAGAAGCAUAGUCGGAAUGUGGCGCCCUCGGGCGUGUUAUAGCCUUCUAUUGGAUACGACGAUCUAGACCAAGGAACGCAGCGCGCCUUAUGGCGGGUCUUCGGACACCUUCGCGUCUUAG